GAUGAACGCUGGCGGCGUGCUUAACACAUGCAAGUCGAACGAAGAUGCCGGAGUGCUUGCACUUUGGCAGACUGAGUGGCGGACGGGUGAGUAACGCGUGGGUAACCUGCCUUAUACAGGGGGACAACAGUUGGAAACGACUGCUAAUACCGCAUAAGCGCACAGUACCGCAUGGUACAGAGCGAAAAAACUCCGGUGGUAUAGGAUGGGCCCGCGUCUGAUUAGUUAGUUGGCGGUGUAACGGACCACCAAGACGACGAUCAGUAGCCGGCUUGAGAGAGUGAACGGCCACAUUGGGACUGAGACACGGCCCAAACUCCUACGGGAGGCAGCAGUGGGGAAUAUUGCACAAUGGGGGGAAACCCUGAUGCAGCAACGCCGCGUGAGUGAAGAAGUAUUUCGGUAUGUAAAGCUCUAUCAGCAGGGAAGAAAUGACGGUACCUGACUAAGAAGCCCCGGCUAACUACGUG
Molecule: ribosomal RNA, 470 nt
Filed under: uncultured bacterium
Lineage: Bacteria
Description: bacterial SSU rRNA
Rfam family: Bacterial small subunit ribosomal RNA
Source: RNAcentral